UUUGAUUUCCUUUCUUAUUAUUUGUAUCCCCUCUAUUUGUCUUGCCAGUUGCUCUGGCUAAUACUUCCAUUACUAUAUUGAAUAGGAGUUGUGGGAGUGUACAUUCUUAUUCCAGGAAAUGCUUUCAGAUUUUCCCCAUUUAAUGUGAUGUUGGCUGUGGACCUGUAAUAUAUAUCCUUUAUUACAUUUAAAAAUGUUCCUUCUAUACUUAAUUGGUUGAGUUUUGGUUGUGAAGGGAUGUUGAACUUUAUCAAUUAUUUUCAUUCAUCUGUUGAGAAUAUCAUAUGAUUUUUGUCCUAAACUCUACUUAUAUGAUGAGUUAAAUUUAUUGAUUUGCACAUUGAACCAUCCUUGCAUCCCUGGAAUGAAACCAACUUAAUCAUAAUGUACAAUCUUCUUAAUGUGUUUUUGAGUAUGAUUUGCUAACAUUUCAUUGGGGAUUUUUGUAUAUAUGUUCAUCAAGGAUAUGGUCUGUAGUUUUCAUUCUUGAUGUGUCCUUAUCUGGUUUUGGUAUCAGGGUGAUACUGGCUUCAUAGAAUGCAUUUGGAAGUGUUCAUACACGCUCCUUUCUUGUUUCAUGGAAUAAUUUGAGGAGCGGGAGCAUUAGUUCUUCUUUAAAGGUCUGAUAAAAUUCAGCUGGCCCUGGAUUUCUUUGCUGGAGGGUCUUUGUUUUCUCUUUUUAUUACUGCUUCAAUCUCAUUGCUUGCUACUGGUCUGUUCAGGUUUACCAUACCCUCUCAGUUCAAUUUUGUUAGGUCAUUAUGUAUCUAGAAACUUGUCCAUUUCUUCUAGAUUUUCCAAUUUACUAGAGGAUGAACUUUAAAAAUAGUCUCUAAUGAUUCUCUGGAUUUCAGUGAUAUCUGUGGUGCUAUCUCCUUUUUCAUCUCUAAUUUUAUUAAUUUGGGUCUUUCUUUUGGUUAGUCUGGACAAGGUUUUAUCAAUUUGUUUCUUUUCAAAGAAAACUGUUUUCUUUGCUCUUUUAUAUACUUUAUUCUCAAUUUCAUUACUUUUAGCUCUGAUCUUAAUUAUUUCCUGUCUUCUACUGAUUUUGCAGUUAGUCUUUAAAAAUUCUAACAUUCCAUAUGUUCAGUCAUGGAGAGGUUCUUCUUUUGGUCUUAUAUUUUUGGGGUUCUAAAUACCUCCUGUAUUUGUAUAUCCAUCUCAUUCCCAAGGCUUGGAAAUUUUUCUGUUAUUUCACUGAACAAUUAAUCAAUGCCAUUAGUACAAAUUUCUAUUUCUUCCUUGAUAAUGAUUCUAAGAUUGGACUCUAAAUGUCCCAGAAUUUUGUAUAUUCUGAUCAUAGUUUAUUGUUAUUUUUUUUCUUUAAUACUGUCUGAAUAUGCAAGACUGGCUACUCUGUCCUUAAGCUCUGAGAUACUAUCUUCUACUUGAUCUAAGCUAUUCAACUGAAUAUAUUACUGUUUUUCAUUUCCAAGAUUUCCUUGGUUCUUUUUCAGAAUCUCUUUUGAAAUAUUUUUUUCACAGCCUGUAUUUUUCCUUUUGAUCAUUUUAGAUCUUUGUUUAAUUAACUAAUCAUUUGAACAAUCAGGUUUCUGAAUUUUUUUUGGCCAGAAUUUCAUUCACUUUAAUAUUUGUGGAUUCAGUUGUUGGGAAGUUACAAACUUUUGGCAGUAUCUGGUCUGUUUUUCUCAGUAUGUUCUUAUAUUUGUGCAUCUAUUGGGAUGGAUUCUUCUUCCUCUUUUAUGUGAGGGUCCUUAAGUUGGUAAUUAUCUCUUUCUAAUAACCAAACCAAGUUUCAAUAAUCAGUGCCACUUUUGAGAGAAGAGACUGACAAUUUUAAGAACAAUCCAUAUAUCAACAUAUGCUAAAAAAGUUCUUACUAAUGUUAUCUACUAAUCUGUUAACCAAAGAGAAAAGUAGGUGAGAAGUAAUAUAGAGUGAAAAGAUUAAGCAUUAAUGAUAACAUACUAAAUUGAAUUGGAAGAAGGGAUAAAAAGCAGAAAAAGAGAGAAAGGAAAAAAUGAGAGAGGAAAAGAAAUAAAAUAAGAAGAGAAAGAAGUAUAAAGAAUAGGAGAAGGGAAUGAAGGAAGAAGAAAGGAGGUGUCAAGAGAGGAUUCUAUUAAUUGACUAAAUGAGUAAAAUUAAAACUAAAAUCACAAAAUGGGAAGACACUAGAAACCAGUUUUCAUUGAGCAGGUGAAGCAAUAACAGUCAUGAACAGAUUGUUUUCUUCUUGCUGAGGCAUUCUAAAUGGAAACAUUUUGUUCUGAGCUUCCAAUUUUAGAAUCUUCCUGCUUUGAGGAAGUUUGUGUCACAGAAAUAUCAUGCCAUUUCUUUGUUCUCAGCACUAACCCAAACUGGCAGGGAGUCUGUAUGCUGAGUUCCUCUCCCUUUUCCCUUGGCAGCAUCUACUGCGGAAUGUUGUCCAUUUCAGAGCUGGCUUCUGAAAUGGCUUUGUUAUUGACUGGGGUUGGGUUGCCUGUCAGGAUCACUGGCCAGCCCUUUCACUCAUGUAGUCUGUGGACUGACCUGGACUGUACCGCACGCCUCAUGUGCUGAGUGGAGGUGUGUCAGUCCAGACCCUCUGGGUGUUGGGGAGGAUGGCAUGGGGGUCUGUGGUAGGAUGUUGUAGGGUCGCUACUUUCCACCUGAUCCAUCUCAGUUUUACCCUGUGCUCCCAAUCACUGAGUUCAGACUUUCAAUUUUAAGUGAAAGCAUCCUUUGCUCUUAGAUCCCCAAAACAAGUAACAGAGGCGGGAGAGAAAAGGUGAACUGUAGGGAUUUAUAGACUAAUGCUCAGGAAGUCCAAACAAAGUCUUUAAGCUGUCACUAGUUUCCCACUUUCACUAACUUCACUGGAGAGUUCUAGGACUUUCUCCCAAGCCAGUUUACCUCACUGUAUCUGAGCUUAUGUUCUGCUCAGACUGAAUUUGUUGGACCUUGUGGUGCCUGUUUUUCUUAAACUUAGUGGGAGAAUUUCCUUGGGCUGGUUAGAAGGGAGCUUUUCUUCCUGUACUGAGCUCCAGUGCACCAAGUACUGCUGUAGUCUAUUCUUUUUAUUUAUUUUAUUCUAGAAACCAGUAUUUUUUUGGUUUUCACUUGGUUGCUAGCUCUCAGUCGUCACUGCAGAACUGUUAAUUCCUUCUUUGGAAGCAGCUAAGAUACUGUGGGUUUCCCUAAUGCAUCACUGUUUCAGCCUCACUGAUUAUUUUUUGUAUUUUUACUCUAUUUCAUUUAGUUCUGAUCUUUGUUAUUUCCUUUUUAGUUUUGGUUUCCUUCUUAUUUUAUAGUUCCAUGUGCCUUAUAAAAAAAUGUCAAAUUUUAUUACAAACUUUUUCUGUGCCAACUGACAUUGUAAUAUGGAUUUUGUUUAUUUAUGUUAAUCUUUUAAAUAGUAAGCCAACUGGUAUUCCUAUAAUAAUGCCAUUUGGACAUGAGGUAUUAUCUUUUUUUUUUGAAUCAUCUCUUUUAUAGAUCAAUGAAAUAAAUUUGCUAAUAUUUUGUAAAGGCUUUUGUAUUUAUGUUCUUGAAGGAUAUUGGUCUUUUAUUUGGUUUUUAUUCAAGGUUAAUGCUAAUCUCAUAAAAUGGGUUCUUGCAAUAUUGGGAAGAGUUUUGUA
This 3578-nucleotide long non-coding RNA is filed under the name Marmota monax (woodchuck). Lineage: Eukaryota; Metazoa; Chordata; Mammalia; Rodentia; Sciuridae. The record is from RNAcentral.